GAUUUCUGGCUUGCAGCAUUUGGCCGGCCACGGUUUCGUGUGUUAGUGCUCUGUGCUCUGGCCAUCCUUCCAAUCGCUAUGCACCUCUCUUCAUUGAUGGGUGCGUGGUAUUGGAUCUUUUACUUUGAAAAAAUUAGAGUGUUUCAAGCAGGCUUUAUGCUAUGAAUACAUUAGCAUGGAAUAAUAAUUUAGGACUUCGGUUCUAUUUUGUUGGUUUCUAGGACUGAAGUAAUGAUUGAUAGGGAUAGUUGGGGGUGCUAGUAUUCAGCGGCCAGAGGUGAAAUUCUCGGAUUCGCUGAAGACUAACUUAUGCGAAAGCAUU
RNAcentral lists this ribosomal RNA (322 nucleotides) under Sandonidae sp. Its description in RNAcentral is "SSU rRNA". The stretch from base 112 to 322 matches the Rfam family "Eukaryotic small subunit ribosomal RNA", at positions 744 to 955 of the family's 1831-position model. Lineage: Eukaryota; Cercozoa; Glissomonadida; Sandonidae. The record is from RNAcentral.